This 248-nucleotide long non-coding RNA is filed under the name Lathyrus oleraceus (garden pea). Its description in RNAcentral is "Pisum sativum (pea) long non-coding RNA (PSAT_LNC007395)". The record is from RNAcentral. Lineage: Eukaryota; Viridiplantae; Streptophyta; Magnoliopsida; Fabales; Fabaceae.
UGUGAUUAUGAUUUUCUGUUACAAUUAACACUUUAUACCAUGCCUUAAUCCACUUUUUAAUCACAAUUAACAAAAUCAAAUGAAAUUAGCAAAAUGCAUUUUCAAGUGAAAUGGCCAAUAUGUCCUUUUGCAAAUUAGGCAAUGUAACAGUAGAAAAUCAGUUCAAGCAAGUUCUAAAUGAUGUUUAUGAUGUGUUGCAAUAGGCUUUGUAUGCAAAUACCAUGUAUUUCACAAAAUCACCUUUUUUC